Ictalurus punctatus (channel catfish) is the source of this 360-nucleotide long non-coding RNA. The record is from Ensembl. NCBI's taxonomy places the organism in Eukaryota, Metazoa, Chordata, Actinopteri, Siluriformes, Ictaluridae.
CCCCGCUUGUUUAUCUUGGGUUUUUUCGAUCUGAAUAAAAACUCAUUCAGCGAGGAGAUUUUCACGCUGCUGAAAACGGCUCUGUCGUCGGUUCACACACUCCCGAUCUCCUUCGCGGUGUGUGUUUGAGCUCCACGCCGCUGUACUGCCGCUCGGCCUCAGCCACUGCCUCUCUGCACAGCGCCUCCUGUGGUGAGGAGGAGGAGCAGCACAGCGUGGAGUCGCAGGACUCGGGCAUCCCGACUCUGGAGCUCAGCUCACCCGAGGGGACGGAAGAGUCGCACAGCACAGACAGACACCGAGACGCUCCGGCCACGCUGAAGCUAGAGACGACGGGUGAGGGCGGGGCUUCAAGUCAGG